GCAGGAGCUGGGCCAAGGACGGCGCUGAUUGGCUGUGGCGGGGCCGGGGCGGGGCGCUGGGGCCGGGCGGCGCGUGCGCAGUGCGGAGCGGUGAGUCGGGGUGGGGGUGUGGCGGUGGGCGCUGUUGCUGGCGCCCCGUGAGGGCCGGGCCGUAGCUCCGGCCCGGGGACCCGGAAACCGGGACACAGCCCUGGUUCCGGCCCCGGUACCGGCCGCUGCCUCCCCUGCGCUGCCCCCGCGCGAGCGGAGCCGGCGGCUGGUGGCAAUGUCUCCUUGGGCCGGGCUCCUCUCCACCACUGCCAGAGUCAGCCUGCUGCUGCUGCUGGGGUCUGUGCUCUUCUCCUGCUCCAGCCUGGGCCACAGAGUGCCUGAGUUUGCCCUUACAAAAAUAGAAGAGAGCGACAUGAAAGAUGACAGUGGGAAGGAGCCGGGGACAGAGGAUGACGCUGAUCCCGAAGACCUGGAAGUGUUUUACCCCACGGAUCAGUGGCAAACCCUGCGUCCAGGUAACUGCUGCUGGCUAAUUAUAGCAUGCCUCUGGAGGCCACCUGCCAGCUCUGACAGGAGCCUUGCAGACGCUCCAAGAGCUGCUUGUUCCCAUGACAAUGUGUGCUUUUGCUGGUGUUCACAUAAAGAGAAGGACGUGGUGACCCAGUGCAGGGACUGGAGGCCGUGGGCAAAGCAUCCAAGGAGGUCACUGGAGCAGGAGGAGUGGGCUGCCAGCCCCCUUGUGGGGUGGGGCUGCCUCUGUCCCUGGCUCCGCAGCUGUUGGAAUCUGAGGUAUUGAUGAUCCUGAGAUUGUAGAAAGUCUCUGUCUGUCAGCCCCCUGCCAAAGCAGAAGCCAUAAUUGGUCUGUGCUGGUUCCAAGGUUGUUUAUUCUGUUUAUCUCUCACAUGUUCUGCUGCCCUGCCCAGCUCUGUCCUGCAGGGCAGCGUGUGGGGCUCUGCCCUCAGUGGGAUGUUACAAACAUUAAAUACCAGAAACUCCCUGGGCUGGAUUUACAAGAACGUGCUAAUAUCUGUCACCUACGUUGGACAGUGUGUCCCCAGCCUGAACCAACAGAAAAAUGCCAACACCACAGUGAAACAUGGAGGGCAUGGAGAAGGAGAAAAAGGACAAGGCACAUCCAAUUUCCUCCAUCUUGUCCCCUUUGGACCCCCAAUCUAGAAUCCUAAAAUUUUACUUUUGCACCCGUGCCAC
This 1200-nucleotide long non-coding RNA is filed under the name Lonchura striata (white-rumped munia). RNAcentral's name for it is "domestica (Bengalese finch) lncRNA (ENSLSDG00000017462.1)". The record is from RNAcentral. Lineage: Eukaryota; Metazoa; Chordata; Aves; Passeriformes; Estrildidae.